Ailuropoda melanoleuca (giant panda) is the source of this 207-nucleotide non-coding RNA. Lineage: Eukaryota; Metazoa; Chordata; Mammalia; Carnivora; Ursidae. The record is from Rfam.
AAGAGUAUGAUUUCAGGGCUCAUUUCUAUAGUUUGUUACUAGACAAGUUUUAUCUGAUUGUGCAGUAGUAUCCAAAACCAAGAGGAAGAGGCGGCACAGUGUCCUUUCCUGAGCGUGAGGUUGACUGUGGGUGAGGUUGACUGUGGGUGUUGUUCUUACAGCUGCGCUUCGGGAGCAGUUAGAGGAAAGGGACGUCCUGUGUGUGGU